UACGUAGGGUGCGGGCGUUAAUCGGAAUUACUGGGCGUAAAGCGUGCGCAGGCGGUUCUGAAAGUCAGCUGUGAAAGCCCCGGGCUUAACCUGGGAACUGCGGUUGAAACUACAGGACUAGAAUCUGGCAGAGGGGGGUGGAAUUCCACGUGUAGCAGUGAAAUGCGUAGAGAUGUGGAGGAACACCGAUGGCGAAGGCAGCCCCCUGGGCUGAGAUUGACGCUCAGGCACGAAAGCGUGGGGAGCAAACAGG
RNAcentral lists this ribosomal RNA (253 nucleotides) under uncultured bacterium. Its description in RNAcentral is "partial 16S ribosomal RNA". It matches the Rfam family "Bacterial small subunit ribosomal RNA", at positions 524 to 776 of the family's 1533-position model. The record is from RNAcentral.